This 75-nucleotide transfer RNA is filed under the name Pseudomonadota bacterium. RNAcentral's name for it is "Proteobacteria bacterium (cold seep metagenome) tRNA-Thr". It matches the Rfam family "tRNA". From Rfam's summary of the family: Transfer RNA (tRNA) molecules are approximately 80 nucleotides in length. Their secondary structure includes four short double-helical elements and three loops (D, anti-codon, and T loops). RNAcentral also lists the same sequence under 1 other name. Lineage: Bacteria; Pseudomonadati; Pseudomonadota. The record is from RNAcentral.
GCCAGCGUAGCUCAGGGGUAGAGCAGCUGAUUCGUAAUCAGCAGGUCGCGGGUUCGAAUCCCAUCGCUGGCUCCA